RNAcentral lists this ribosomal RNA (252 nucleotides) under uncultured bacterium. RNAcentral's name for it is "partial 16S ribosomal RNA". It matches the Rfam family "Bacterial small subunit ribosomal RNA", at positions 525 to 776 of the family's 1533-position model. The record is from RNAcentral.
ACGGAGGGUGCAAGCGUUAAUCGGAAUUACUGGGCGUAAAGCGCGCGUAGGCGGUUUGGUAAGUCGGGUGUGAAAGCCCCGGGCUCAACCUGGGAAUUGCACUCGAUACUGCCAGACUAGAGUAUGGUAGAGGGAAGUGGAAUUCCGCAUGUAGCGGUGAAAUGCAUAGAGAUGCGGAGGAACACCAGUGGCGAAGGCGACUUCCUGGACCAAUACUGACGCUGAGGUGCGAAAGCGUGGGGAGCAAACAGG